This is a long non-coding RNA of Nicotiana tabacum (common tobacco), 988 nucleotides long. RefSeq lists it as uncharacterized. The record is from RefSeq and is a predicted model, not a curated record. NCBI's taxonomy places the organism in Eukaryota, Viridiplantae, Streptophyta, Magnoliopsida, Solanales, Solanaceae.
UGAUUUUAAACAUAUUUUUAGCUUUAUUCCCAAGACUCUAAUAAUACCUCAACACUCGCAAAUUAGGUAUCCCACCUCUCUCUCUCACCCUACAGUAAAUACCCUAUUCUAUGCAUUGUGCCUUUCUUCCUCUUCCUCUCACAAAAUCUUUCACAAAUCGUUGUCGGCGUUUCACCAGUUCAUUGUAGCCGCCGACUCCUUUUUCCCUCCUUUCUGUCUCCUUUUCUCGCCAGGUCUCCGAUGAAGCUCGCAGGUUCAUCCAGAUACGACCGCGAAAUAGAUGGGCGUAUUCUCAUGGCAAAAGUUGAUUAAACUGAAGAAGUUGAUUUGUGUAGAAGGUUCCUGGCAACCUUGCCAUAUCAGCUCGUUCGGCAGCUCAUUCAUUUGAUGUUUCUCAGAUGAACAUGUCACAUGCAAUUUCUUGCUUUUCGAUUUUUCGUUUGGUAAGACAAUGUAAAUAGUGCAAAUACAUGAUCAGGACGCAGAUAUGUUCAAUUACUUUAAUCCAAUAGAUUAGACAAUUGGGUCAAUUGUUAGAUUCUUCUUAGCUUUAAUUUGGGUUUCCUAUUGAAUUUGCAUAAACAUUUAAUUUGAGUUAAUAAAUAACUUUUGUGUUCUCCGAGUUAUAUGGUGCCCAUUAUUAGGAGUUGAGUUAGACUGAAAGAGUGUUUGCUUCUUACCCACAUUUACAUAUUUAACUCUCUUCAUGUGAAGUAAUCUUUUUAUGCAGGGAACAAGAAAUUAGAGCUGCUGAGGGAAUGAUCUUUGAAAAAAGAAAUUAUGGGAGAUGAAGAUGAGUUUUACAAAUUAGUUAUAAGAUCUCCGCAAAUUGAAUGUCAUGAUAAAAUACAUAGCAUUUUUGGUAUUUUUAUCGAUGUUGAGAAGGUAGGCUCAAUGCAAUAUUGCAAAGAUUGACUAUGAUUGUUUAUAUUGUUAUUGAACAAUUCUUUGAAAUAUUAAUUCAUUUGAUGAUGUAAAUAUUUAGGUA